This is a long non-coding RNA of Carlito syrichta (Philippine tarsier), 255 nucleotides long. RefSeq lists it as uncharacterized. The record is from RefSeq and is a predicted model, not a curated record. The transcript has 2 exons. NCBI's taxonomy places the organism in Eukaryota, Metazoa, Chordata, Mammalia, Primates, Tarsiidae.
AGGAAUGGAAAACCAAACACUGCGUGGUCUCGCUUCGUCCAUUGGCCUCUGUUUCCAGCAGACCUCUGCUCCCUGGAAGUGCCCGAGAUGUCCACACUGCGGGAUGUCAGAAGCACUGCACAUAUAGUUUUAUAGAUCUUGGAAACGAAGUCCAAAAGGGAACGUCAGAUGCCUUCUUAAUUCUUUUUUUGAUGGAUUAUAUGUUGAGAUGGUAUUUUAGAUACACUGAGUUAAAUAAAACUUAUUUUAAAAAUA